This 627-nucleotide ribosomal RNA is filed under the name uncultured bacterium. RNAcentral's name for it is "bacterial SSU rRNA". It matches the Rfam family "Bacterial small subunit ribosomal RNA", at positions 224 to 851 of the family's 1533-position model. The record is from RNAcentral.
GAUGGGGAUGCGUUCCAUUAGUUUGUUGGCGGGGUAACGGCCCACCAAGACUACGAUGGAUAGGGGUUCUGAGAGGAAGGUCCCCCACAUUGGAACUGAGACACGGUCCAAACUCCUACGGGAGGCAGCAGUGAGGAAUAUUGGUCAAUGGACGCGAGUCUGAACCAGCCAAGUAGCGUGAAGGAUGACUGCCCUAUGGGUUGUAAACUUCUUUUAUAUGGGAAUAAAGUUGUCCACGUGUGGAUUUUUGUAUGUACCAUAUGAAUAAGGAUCGGCUAACUCCGUGCCAGCAGCCGCGGUAAUACGGAGGAUCCGAGCGUUAUCCGGACUUAUUGGGUUUAAAGGGAGCGUAGGCGGAUUGUUAAGUCAGUUGUGAAAGUUUGCGGCUCAACCGUAAAAUUGCAGUUGAUACUGGCAGUCUUGAGUGCAGUAGAGGUGGGCGGAAUUCGUGGUGUAGCGGUGAAAUGCUUAGAUAUCACGAAGAACUCCGAUUGCGAAGGCAGCUCACUGGAGUGUAACUGACGCUGAUGCUCGAAAGUGUGGGUAUCAAACAGGAUUAGAUACCCUGGUAGUCCACACAGUAAACGAUGAAUACUCGCUGUUUGCGAUAUACAGUAAGCGGCCAAG